AUGACAAAGAAGAAUAAAACAUAUUAUCUGCUGGAUGGGGAGGAAGAGCCUACGAGGCCUAUACAUGGCAACUAUAUUGGCAAGGUGAUGUUCCUAACGGCCGUUGCUAGGCCAAGGUGGGACAGUGAAGGAAACGUGACCUUCUCUGGGAAAAUCGGUAUCUGGCCAUUCGUGAAGGAAGUUCCUGCUCAAAGGAGAAGCGACAACAGGCCCAAAUGUACGAUAGAGAUAAAAUCAAUAAAGGUCGACAGAAGAGUGAUGAGGGAGUUCCUAAUAGAGAAGGUCUUGCCAGCGAUACAAGCUAUUUGGACCGAAAGUGAUGCUGGAUAG
This 330-nucleotide ribosomal RNA is filed under the name Triticum aestivum (bread wheat). RNAcentral describes it as "partial small subunit ribosomal RNA". The record is from RNAcentral. Lineage: Eukaryota; Viridiplantae; Streptophyta; Magnoliopsida; Poales; Poaceae.